This 253-nucleotide ribosomal RNA is filed under the name uncultured bacterium. RNAcentral's name for it is "partial 16S ribosomal RNA". It matches the Rfam family "Bacterial small subunit ribosomal RNA", at positions 79 to 334 of the family's 1533-position model. The record is from RNAcentral.
CUUUCUUUGCUGGCGACCGGCGCACGGGUGAGUAACACGUAUCCAACCUGCCCUUUACUCGGGGAUAGCCUUUCGAAAGAAAGAUUAAUACCCGAUAGCAUAAUGAUCCGCAUGGUUUCAUUAUUAAAGGAUUCCGGUAAAGGAUGGGGAUGCGUUCCAUUAGGUUGUUGGUGAGGUAACGGCCCACCAAGCCUUCGAUGGAUAGGGGUUCUGAGAGGAAGGUCCCCCACAUUGGAACUGAGACACGGUCCAA